GAUAAGGUGGCUGAGGCAUAGGCAUUAGAUUGUAAAUCUAAUUAUGAGACUUGAUCUUUCUUAUCA
Molecule: transfer RNA, 66 nt
Filed under: Parajapyx emeryanus
Lineage: Eukaryota; Metazoa; Arthropoda; Diplura; Dicellurata; Parajapygidae
Description: tRNA-Tyr
Rfam family: tRNA
About the family: Transfer RNA (tRNA) molecules are approximately 80 nucleotides in length. Their secondary structure includes four short double-helical elements and three loops (D, anti-codon, and T loops). Further hydrogen bonds mediate the characteristic L-shaped molecular structure. tRNAs have two regions of fundamental functional importance: the anti-codon, which is responsible for specific mRNA codon recognition, and the 3' end, to which the tRNAs corresponding amino acid is attached (by aminoacyl-tRNA synthetases). tRNAs cope with the degeneracy of the genetic code in two manners: having more than one tRNA (with a specific anti-codon) for a particular amino acid; and 'wobble' base-pairing, i.e. permitting non-standard base-pairing at the 3rd anti-codon position.
Source: RNAcentral